AGCUGCACAGUAAGCACAUAGCGAAUUAUUCUUUCGCCUUUUACUAAAGAAUACCGUGUGCUUGCUGUAUUAAGCAGCAUGCACUAAUUUUUUGGAGAGGUUCUUCCAUUUUC
This is a small nuclear RNA of Andrographis paniculata, 113 nucleotides long. RefSeq annotates it as U5 spliceosomal RNA. The transcript has a single exon. The record is from RefSeq and is a predicted model, not a curated record. Lineage: Eukaryota; Viridiplantae; Streptophyta; Magnoliopsida; Lamiales; Acanthaceae.